This 1157-nucleotide ribosomal RNA is filed under the name Helicobacter pylori. RNAcentral's name for it is "partial 23S ribosomal RNA". It matches the Rfam family "Bacterial large subunit ribosomal RNA", at positions 1573 to 2715 of the family's 2925-position model. Lineage: Bacteria; Pseudomonadati; Campylobacterota; Epsilonproteobacteria; Campylobacterales; Helicobacteraceae. The record is from RNAcentral.
AGUCCAUUAGGGCAGAGCUGCUGAUAUCACGCUUCCAGGAAAAGCUCCUAAGCUUCAGCUUGUGCAGACCGUACCGUAAACCGACACAGGUGGACAGGAUGAGAAUUCUCAGGCGCUUGAGAGAACUCGGGUGAAGGAACUACGCAAAAUGGCACCGUAACUUCGGGAGAAGGUACGCUGUUGUUGGUGAUGGAACUCGCUUCCUGAGCUGACGACAGCCGCAGAAACCAGGCCGCUGCAACUGUUUAUUAAAAACAUAGCACUCUGCAAACACGAAAGUGGACGUAUAGGGUGUGAUGCCUGCCCGGUGCUGGAAGGUUAAUUGAUGGGGUUAGCGUAAGCGAAGCUCUUGAUCGAAGCCCCAGUAAACGGCGGCCGUAACUAUAACGGUCCUAAGGUAGCGAAAUUCCUUGUCGGGUAAGUUCCGACCUGCACGAAUGGCGUAACGAUGGCGGCGCUGUCUCCACCCGAGACUCAGUGAAAUUGAAAUCGCUGUGAAGAUGCAGUGUAUCCGCGGCUAGACGGAAAGACCCCGUGAACCUUUACUGCAGCUUGACACUGAACUUUGACCUUACUUGUGUAGGAUAGGUGGGAGGCUUUGAAGCUGGAACGCUAGUUCCAGUGGAGCCGUCCUUGAAAUACCACCCUGGUAAUGUUGAGGUUCUAACUCUGUCCCGUGAUCCGGGACGAGGACCGUGUCUGGUGGGUAGUUUGACUGGGGCGGUCUCCUCCUAAAGAGUAACGGAGGAGUACGAAGGUGCGCUCAGCGUGGUCGGAAAUCACGCGUAGAGUAUAAAGGCAAAAGCGCGCUUAACUGCGAGACCCACAAGUCGAGCAGGUACGAAAGUAGGUCUUAGUGAUCCGGUGGUUCUGUAUGGAAGGGCCAUCGCUCAACGGAUAAAAGGUACUCUGGGGAUAACAGGCUGAUACCGCCCAAGAGUUCAUAUCGACGGCGGUGUUUGGCACCUCGAUGUCGGCUCAUCUCAUCCUGGGGCUGUAGCCGGUCCCAAGGGUAUGGCUGUUCGCCAUUUAAAGAGGUACGUGAGCUGGGUUUAAAACGUCGUGAGACAGUUUGGUCCCUAUCUGCCGUGGGCGCUGGAUAUUUGAAGGGGGCUGCUCCUAGUACGAGAGGACCGGAGUGGACGAACCUCUGGUGU